AGGGCUUAGGAAUUGAACACCAAUGCAGGGCCCCAAUCUCAGAUUGGGUGGCGAUAGCAAUUGCAUCAAGAGAAGUAAUAGUGAUAAUAGUAAUAGUGGCAGCGGCAGCAGCAGCAGCACCACCACCAUCACCACAAAGACGAACCUUGUGUGUCCAUGAUCCAAUAUUCGGGUGGUGGGGUUACUUCCAAUUUGUCUCGAAAGAAAGCUACCCCUCCA
Molecule: unclassified non-coding RNA, 219 nt
Filed under: Hevea brasiliensis (rubber tree)
Lineage: Eukaryota; Viridiplantae; Streptophyta; Magnoliopsida; Malpighiales; Euphorbiaceae
Source: RNAcentral